AAAAGCGUUACAGCUUAACCUAAUAUUCAAUAAAAUUUCACCUACAAUCACUAACCCCACCCCAUUACUGAAUGACUCUAUAAUAAUAUAGAAAACAUAAUGCUAGAACUAGUAACAAGAAUAACAAUUCUCCAAAAUGUAAGUAUUUACCAAACUACUGGCAAUUAACGAAUAUGAGCCUACUACAGUAACCCCCAAGAAAACUCUGUAUAAACCCCCGUCAACCUAACACCAGAACACUCCUGGAAAGAUUUAAAGAGAAAGAAGGAACUUGGCAAAUCUCGACCCCGCCUGUUUACCAAAAACAUCGCCUCUUGGCUCAUAAUAAGAGGUCUAGCCUGCCCACUGAUAAAAUUCAACGGCCACGGUACCCUAACCGUGCAAAGGUAGCAUAAUCACUUGUUCUUUAAAUAAGGACUAGUAUCAACGGCACCACGAGGGUCGCACCGUCUCCUUUCUCCAAUCAGUGAAACUGAUCUCCCCGUGAAGAAGCGUGGAUAAAACUAUAAGACGAGAAGACCCCAUGGAGCUUUAGACUUCCGGCAACCAAACUUUACACCCCCCAACAACCACAAAACUAUGCUUAACAGUCUUAGGCUGGGGCGGCCACGGAGCAGAAAACAACCUCCAUGACGAAAGAACUAAAUCCUUAUCUAUGAGUUACUACUCUAAGAAUUAGAACACUAACGUACAAUGACCCGACAAACGACCAACGAACCUAGUUACCCUGGGGAUAACAGCGCAAUCUACUUCAAGAGCUCAUAUCGACAAGUAGGCUUACGACCUCGAUGUUGGAUCAGGGUAUCCUAGUGGUGCAGCCGCUGCUAAUGGUUCGUUUGUUCAACGAUCAAAACC
Molecule: ribosomal RNA, 855 nt
Filed under: Philautus nephophilus
Lineage: Eukaryota; Metazoa; Chordata; Amphibia; Anura; Rhacophoridae
Description: partial large subunit ribosomal RNA
Rfam family: Bacterial large subunit ribosomal RNA
Source: RNAcentral